Molecule: microRNA, 22 nt
Filed under: Ornithorhynchus anatinus (platypus)
Lineage: Eukaryota; Metazoa; Chordata; Mammalia; Monotremata; Ornithorhynchidae
Description: oan-miR-1404
Source: miRBase by way of RNAcentral
UUGGGGAAAAAGAAGAGUUCAC